RNAcentral lists this ribosomal RNA (501 nucleotides) under uncultured bacterium. RNAcentral's name for it is "partial 16S ribosomal RNA". It matches the Rfam family "Bacterial small subunit ribosomal RNA", at positions 30 to 523 of the family's 1533-position model. The record is from RNAcentral.
AUUGAACGCUGGCGGCAUGCCUUACACAUGCAAGUCGAACGGCAGCACGGGUGCUUGCACCUGGUGGCGAGUGGCGAACGGGUGAGUAAUAUAUCGGAACGUACCUUAUUGUGGGGGAUAACGCAGCGAAAGCUGUGCUAAUACCGCAUAAUCCCUUAGGGGGAAAGCGGGGGACCGUAAGGCCUCGCGCAAUUAGAGCGGCCGAUACCUGAUUAGCUAGUUGGUGAGGUAAAGGCUCACCAAGGCGACGAUCAGUAGCUGGUCUGAGAGGACGGUCAGCCACACGGGGACUGAGACACGGCCCAGACUCCUCCGGGAGGCAGCAGUGGGGAAUUUUGGACAAUGGGGGCAACCCUGAUCCAGCAAUGCCGCGUGAGUGAAGAAGGCCUUCGGGUUGUAAAGCUCUUUUGUCAGGGAAGAAACAGCAGCUCUAACACAGUAUGCGAAUGACGGUACCUGAAGAAUAAGCACCGGCUAACUACGUGCCAGCCGCCGCAGUAA